CUCUGCACGUCGGGACCGCAGCCAACGCAACGAAAACCUCACACCUGACCUGCUCUGUAAUAAAUCCCAGUUUUCUGCUCAAGCAUGCUUGCUUUUCCUUCAUGGAGCAAGGCCUGAGUGGUGAGCCAAAGUAAUACCAAGCUUACAUGUCCAAGAACUUCCAGAAACGUGUCAGCACUGUCAGUGAGGAUGUGCAUUGCUCUGUGGGUGUUAGGAGUGAAGGAAAAAUGAGGGUUUUAGUUGGCAAAGCAGAAUUCUUUUGUGGAGGACUGACAAGGCAUGGUGCUGAGCCACAAAGGUGAUGAGUGGGCUCUGACUAGCUCUGCCUAAAUGAAACCCACAUUUUCCUUCCCAGCCUUGCCUUUUAUUAUCCUGAAAAGAGCAAAUGGAAGAGGAAUCAAGUACAAAACACCAGGACAAACAGCACAGAUGAAGAAUCAGAGAUGCAGCUGAAACACAUCAAUGCCCACAGGUCACAGCAUCCCGGAAGAUUCCCAAACGUGGAUCUGUCAAAAUGCUCUGGAAAUAAGGGUGCAAGAUCUAAAAGAUUCAGGACCAGAAUUAGAAGAUGAGACCAUCAUGAAGAAAAUGUGCUGAGGCUACGUAGGGAUCUCUUUUGGCUGAGGACUGAAUGUUGAUCAUCAAUUGGUUGCUGUGCUAAAUAAGUGAUUUCCUCCCAACAAUUCCCUCUAUAUGUUUGAUUUAACCAACUGUGUGCAGCAGCCAAAUAUUCUAUGCUUGAACAGCCUUAGAAUCCAGUCUGGGUUGGAUAAACUGCACAAAGAGCACAAGGGCAAUGGAGCUGCUCCCUGCUAAACAUCCAGGCAGAGGGGCUGACCCUGCAAUGUUAGGUCAAAUUUUCUUCCACUAAGUAAAUUUUUCUCUCACAAAGAAUUGAGAUUUUGCUCACCAGCAGCAAAGCAGUUACCACCUGUUCUUCUAGGCAGGUAUGCCUUCUGUAGAAUCAUCCCAGCAAAAAUCUGGGAUUUAUCCUCAAACACCUUAAACCCUGGUAUUUAUCAUUAGAAACAGUUAAUAAAUGAAGGUAUGAAUCAGGUAAAUGACAAUAUAAUGAACAUCUUCAAAGCAGCGAGCAGAUGUGAAAAUGAGAUAAUAGGUGACUCAUGUAAUUACACAAAUAUAAAUAUUGGAUCCAUUAUAACACACACUACCCUGAGGGUGUGCACAACACAGAGUCACAGGAUGAUUUGUUUUGGGAGGGACCUUAAAGAUCAUCUCACUCCAACCCCCUGCCACGGGCAGGGACACCUCCCAGUACAAGGCUGCUCAGAGCCCCAUCCAGCCUGGAUAUAGAGUUACAGAAAUUUCCAUCCCUAAAAAUACCCAGCCUGACUCUCCCACUCUCUGCCUAUCCUCAGCACCACAACAGAAUGUCAGUGCCAAUUAUUACAAUUAAUGACAAAGUUAAUUCCAGGAGUAUGUGGGUUAUUGAAAGCUUCUAGCUGUUUUGUUUUUGUUGUUUUUUUUUUUUUUUUUUUUUUGUUCUCACAGUGAAAAACAGCUUCAACCUUCGUGCACUUUGAAAAAAAAAAGAAUUAAUUACCUGUAAUGAGUGCUCAGUAUACCAGGCAUGGCAUCACAAUCCCUUUUUGUGCUCCAAAACCUCACAAAAAAUGUCCCUACACAACCCAGGUGUGGGAGCAAGAAUUCAAUGACAUUUGUGAACAGGGCACAGGGAGUUUAAACAGCCUUGUUUGCAACCACCCCACAAGUUUGUGAGAGAUGCUUCAGCCUCAGAUGACUUUGAGUUUUCCUGUGAUGGUGCUCUGGGGCAGCUCACAAACACCAAGCUCCUUUCUAGGUUAAUCCCACUGCCAGGUGGGCUCAGCUCCCCGUGCCUGUUCCAGCUCAUUUCUGAGAAACCAUUUUGCAAGUCCGAUAGGAAAACACCAAGGGCUUAGCUGGAAUGCAAAUUAUUCUUCUGGGGCCUGCCAGCUUUAAUGGGAGGAGGAUGGGACCCAUAAUCUUGUUUUGUUUCUUUUCAGGACUAAAUAUAAUGGAAGGCUCUGUUUCCCUGUUACUGUCUUCCUUCGAGGGCUCCAGCAGGAGAUCAAUGACUAAGACUCUGCUGUAAUUUCUUUGUCUCAGUUCCUUAAACUGCUCUUUUCUUUCCUCACUUUAAUCUGGUUUGGUUUGCUCUUCUGAGGGGUAUUAAUUCAAUAAUUUAGGUAUUAAUUCAAUAACUUUCUAGGCUAGACUCUGGCAUUGGAGACUUUCUCCUCCACCAGCCUGAUCUGUCCCUGCUUUCAAAACAAACACAUGGGAAGAGUGCACAUUUAUCUCAGAAUACACCAGAAACAAAGGGAUCUCUAAGCUAACAGUCCUUCUCUAAAGCACCAGUUCUUUAAAUGAAUCACCACAAAACAAUCCUUCAAAUUCCUGUGUGAGCCCUGCAAAGGGAAUGUGUGUGAGCAGUGGAGGGGCAGCACCAAUCUCUGCUCCCUGUGAACGGUGCCAGGCCUUGAGGGAAGGGCAUGAAGUGGUGUCAGGAGAGGUUUAGGUUGGAUUUUAGGAAAAGAUUCUUCCUCCAGAGGGUGGUUGGGCCCUGGACAGGCUGCCCAGGGAAUAGGCACAGCCCCAAGGCUGCCAGAGCUCCAGGAGUUUGGACAACAUUCUCAGGCACAGGGUGGGAUUGUUGGGGUAUCUGUGCAGGGCCAGGGGUUGGACUCUGAUCCUUGUGGGUCUCUUUCAAAUCAGGAUAUUCUGUGAUUCUGUAUUUCAAGUGUAGAGUUCAUAGGAUAACAAGAGGAUCUAUGACCACUGGCAAAUAAAACAAUACUAAAAUAAUUUAAAAUAUCCAUUCAAGUCCUCCAAGAUUGUGUUGAUGUUGGCAGUCAUUUGAUUUCAGUGCCUAAGUGAAAUUAGGAUAUUUUCUGAAAAAUCCCUUCACCAGGAUUUCUUCUCCUGGGAAGCUUCAGCUUCUCCAUGUUUUGCUGCUUUGGAAUGUGGUCUGGAGAGUGUUUAUCCAGCAUGUGAAUUGUUUUAAUUUAAUGAUCAAUCUUGGUCCAGCUGUGUCAAGGCUCUGAGGAGUCAUGGGUUUUCCUUUAUCAUUCUUGUUAAGCCUUCUGGUGAAUCCUUUCUCUUUCUCUAGUAUAGUUUUAGUAUGGCAUUCUUUUAAUAUUAUAUAAUAUAAUAUCAUAAAAUAAUAAAUCACCUUCUGAGAACAUGGAGUCAAAUUCUCAUCUCUUCACCUCAUCCUGGGGACCCUCACAAACAGCACACUUUAGGAUUAUGAAACAACCUUAAAGUUUGCAAUGCUGCUGCAGCUGCCAUUUGAGACUUUCAGAACAUUCUGGAAGCACGAUUUGGCCACAUUUCACAAUUCCUGCCCCAAGGGUUUUGCUGAGAUGGAUUUCCCUUGUUUUAUUAACAGAGGAAUUCAGUGGUUAGAUAUCUGGCUGAAGUACUUCCACAAAGAUUUCCUGAAGACUACAGAUACCACUCCUUAAAGACUAAAAAUCUGCCCACAUCUGGCACAGAAAGCUUUCAGAUUAAUUAGUGCAGCAGAUCAAUUGGUACCACAAGAGGUGAAGAACUGGUGUGUGGAAAUCUCAAGCACUUGGAAAACUUUCUAUUUCCCUGCAGAAAGCUUAAAAGCUAAAUAAAUGCAAGUGAUUGAACAA
Haemorhous mexicanus (house finch) is the source of this 3644-nucleotide long non-coding RNA. RefSeq lists it as uncharacterized. Lineage: Eukaryota; Metazoa; Chordata; Aves; Passeriformes; Fringillidae. The record is from RefSeq and is a predicted model, not a curated record. The transcript is spliced from 4 exons.